Molecule: ribosomal RNA, 116 nt
Filed under: uncultured bacterium
Lineage: Bacteria
Description: partial 16S ribosomal RNA
Rfam family: Bacterial small subunit ribosomal RNA
Source: RNAcentral
CGUUCCCGGGUCUUGUACACACCGCCCGUCACACCACGAGAGUUUGUAACACCCGAAGUCGGUGGGGUAACCCUUACGGGAGCCAGCCGCCGAAGGUGGGACAGAUGAUUGGGGUG